AGUGAACGCUGGCGGUAGGCCUAACACAUGCAAGUCGAACGGCAGCACAGUAAGAGCUUGCUCUUACGGGUGGCGAGUGGCGGACGGGUGAGGAAUACAUCGGAAUCUACUUUUUCGUGGGGGAUAACGUAGGGAAACUUACGCUAAUACCGCAUCCGACCUACGGGUGAAAGCAGGGGAUCUUCGGACCGUGCGCGAUUGAAUGCGCCGAUGUCGGAUUAGCUAGUUGGCGGGGUAAAGGCCCACCAAGGCGACGAUCCGUAGCCGGUCUGAGAGGAUGAUCAGCGACACUGGAACGGAGACACGGUCCAGACUCCUACGAGAGGCAGCAGUGGGGAAUAGUGGACAAUGGGCGCAAGCCUGAUCCAGCCAUACCGCGUGGGUGAAGAAGGCCUUCGGGUUGUAAAGCCCUUUUGUUGGGAAAGAAAAGCAGCAGGUUAAGACCCCGCUGUUCUGACGGUACCCAAAGAAUAAGCACCGGCUAACUUCGUG
This 492-nucleotide ribosomal RNA is filed under the name uncultured bacterium. Its description in RNAcentral is "partial 16S ribosomal RNA". It matches the Rfam family "Bacterial small subunit ribosomal RNA", at positions 29 to 507 of the family's 1533-position model. The record is from RNAcentral.